UUCGCUGGCUGGGGUGGAAGGCUGUGGACAGGCAGCAUUCACGCUAUGGAAACAAGCCCCUCACCCUGACUGGGUUGUGUCAGCUCCACGCAAUCUGAUUGGGUUGUGUCAGCUCCACGCAAUCUGAUUGGAUUCUAAGAGGUGACGUAGGACUCUAAUUGUGUGGCUCUGAGGUUCAUUGGCUGGGAUGGAAGGCUGGUGUUACACAGCUGUGGACAGGCAACAUUCACGCUAUGGAAACAGGCUCCUCACCCUGACUGGGUUGUCAGCUCCACACAAUCUGACUGGGUUCCAAGAGGUGACCUAGGACUCAUUGUGUGGCUCUGAGGUUCACUGGCUGGGAUGGAAGGCUGGUGUUAUACAUUUGUGGACAGGCAGCAUUGACAGCACGGAAACAGGCCCCUCACCCUGACUAGGUUGUGUUGGCUCCACGCAAUCUGAUUGGAUUCAGAGACAUGACUGAAAUGAGGUAUCUGUUGAGGUUGCAGGGAACCUGGGCAGGGAUGCUAUCUUCCUGUGACUACAGCACAAGUGGGAGAAAAUGUGGAUAAUUUUCUUUUGUGAAGCUUUCAUCGCCUGCAUCUGACCAGUCAGCUUGUGCAGUCCUGCUACUUGGUUGAUUUUUUUUUUACUUGAAGGGUUAAGCUGUAUUUGGGUUGAGUGCUGCAAAGUUUUCUUUAUCUGUGGGGGAACUGUACUGGUAAUAAAGUAAGCCUGAUGGUGCUGUUAUUGUUAUUCAAAGUUGCAUGCUUUCUUUUACCCAAUGUGGUUAGUGUCAGCACAUUUUGGAAUCAUAGAAUCCCUGUAGUGUGAAAGCAAGCCAUCUGUCCCAUUGAGUCUACGCUGAUCAUCUAAACAGCACCCAGACCCACACCUAUCCCUGUAACCAUACGUUUCCCAUGUCCAACCCACCCUAGCCUGCACAUCUCUCGACAGAUGGAGAAAUAUCUUAAAAGAAAACACUGCUAACUUGCCAAGUUUUGCGAGCUGAGGGGAUAUUUAAAGGUUAUAGAUGGGGUUAAAGUGCUUCCUUCUUUUCUUCCAUCAUUCUUUCCUUCCUUACUUCCAUCCUUCCUGCAUUCAAUCCUUCCAUUCUUCCUUCCUUCCCUCUUGUUCAUCCCCAGGGAGCAAAGUGUGGUCUAGGGAUAUGUUGUGAAAUUAGUAAUCCAGCCUAAUGCUGUUGAGCACAUUUUGUUCAUUUCUUGGGAUGUUGGUGUUGCCAAGUGGGCCAAAUGGUCUUUUGCUGUGCGGAAUCAAAAUAAGCAACCAGUAUUUCCAUGUUUCCAAUUCACCCUGCUUCCCCUCCC
Molecule: non-coding RNA, 1307 nt
Organism: Chiloscyllium plagiosum (whitespotted bambooshark)
Lineage: Eukaryota; Metazoa; Chordata; Chondrichthyes; Orectolobiformes; Hemiscylliidae
Source: RefSeq, a predicted model, not a curated record